Long non-coding RNA from Ictalurus furcatus (blue catfish), 8623 nucleotides. RefSeq lists it as uncharacterized. The record is from RefSeq and is a predicted model, not a curated record. NCBI's taxonomy places the organism in Eukaryota, Metazoa, Chordata, Actinopteri, Siluriformes, Ictaluridae. The transcript has 2 exons.
GCUGCUAAUGUCCACAUGGACUUCCUGUUUCAGACUCCAGCGAGCUCUCCAAUCUGUUUUCAACUAAACACACAGGAGCUUUAAUCACCACACACACACUCCUCACACACUCACGCACACACACACACACACACUCUCCUCACCACGCUACACUGCCUGUCUCUGUCUCGCUCUCUUUCUUUCUUGCUUUAGUUCUCUCUUUCCUCUUGUUUUCUCCUUCUUUCCUUUCUUUCUUGUGCUCUCUCUCUCUCUCGUUUUUCCUUCCUCUCUUUUCCCUUUGCUGUCUCUUUUCUUCCUUUCUCUACUUCUCACUUUCUUUCCCUCUUUCCUUUCAGCUUUCUCCUUCUUUCCUUUGUUUAGUUUUCUUCCUUGCUCUCUCUCCCAUUAUUAUUUUUUCUUUUCCUCUCUUCCUCUUGCUGUGUCCUUUCAUCCCCCCCUCCUUCUCUUCUUGCUCUUCACCUAUAAACAGACAGAGUAGUGACAUCACUUCCUGUGUGGCCAUGACCUGUGUGUUUGUCCCUGACUGUGUCGUUCUGUCUCUCUCGUUCCUCUCCUCUCUGUUCUGGGGUCAGUUUUCUGGUCUCUGCUCUGACCAUCAGGUGCAGAUUAAAGAUCUCAGACCUGCUCCUGUUGCUGCUGAAGCUGCAGAUGAAGAACCAUCUGGACCCGUCGGUUCUGCGCUUCGGGAGACGAGCGCUCGCUGUGUUGUGCUUUUAUUAGACGGCGAGUGACUGGGCACGGCCUCGCUAACACCACAGUGAGCACUCGCUCCUGAAAUACCAGUCCUCUCGCACCUCAACACUGGCUCGGCUCGCUGUCGUGUUUACACGCUGAAUAGCAGCCCGAUGCGACGUGACCCAGAAUGGCACGCUUUUAUUUUUAAAGAUCCGCCUCAGGAAGGAGGAUAACUAACCAACAAACAGGGCAUGUAGCUAAACGUGUUCCAGCAAAGCAUGUUAACUUUGAAAAGUCUGAGUUUAAAGACGUUUGGAUCAUCAUUAAAUGAACCAGCACACGCAUUCGCACGCUUUCGCGCGCAUUCAGAUUAACGCUGAUGCUCUCGGAAACCCAGGAUCGCGCCGAAUUUCCCACAAACGUGACCUCAGAUCAGAACAAACAUGGUGGACGCCUUCUUUACCUUCUUUCUUUCACUCUUGUGCUUGCUUUCUUACUUUCCUGUUUUCUCUCUCAUUCAUUCCUUUCUUCCAUCCUCUUUCGCCUUUUUCACUCUUGCCUUCUAAUCCCUCUCUUUUUUCCCUUCCUUCCGUCAUUCCUUCUUAGUUCCUUCCUUCCUUCUUUCUUAUCUCUCUCUCUCUUUCUUUUGCUCUCUCUCUCUGUCUUUCUUUCUGUUUUUUCUUUCCUUUUCUUUCCUUCCUUCCUUUUUCUAUUCUUUCUUUUGCUCCUUCCUUUCUUUCUUUCUCUCUUACUACCUCUAUCUCUCUCUUUCUUUCUUUUGCUCUGUCUUUCUUUCUUUCUUUCUUUCUUACUAUCUGUCUUUCUUUCUUUCCUUUUCCUUCCUUCCUUUUUUCUAUUCUUUCUUUUGCUCGUUCCUUUCUUCCUCUUUAGCUCUUUCUCACUACUUCUCUCUCUUUCUUUCGUGCUCUGUGCUUUCUUUCUCUUUCCUUUUCCCUUCCUUCCUUUAGUUCUUUCUUACCUUUCUACCAUUUUUUUUAAUAUGGCACUGACCAGAUUUUUCCUCCUGUCUCUCUCUCGCUCUCUUUAGUAGUAGACAGAGUAGUGACAUCACUUCCUGUGUGGCCCUGAUCUUUUGCGUUACUCUCUCUUUCCGUUCUCUGGGCAGUUUUGUCGUCUCUGCUCUGAUGAUCAGAUCCAGAUGAAAGAUCUCGGAGCUGCAGAUGAAGAAGAACUGGGUGUUUAUCAGGUCGUAGUGAAUCUCAGAAAGGACAGACCGAAAGUGUUUGAUGUAACAGACACCUUCAGUAUUAAGGCGUGUAUCGACGGCGGCCGUCAAACCCAACCCGAUACCUCACUAUUCAGUUCCACGGUAAGGUUUUCCGAUGCCCAGACGUCAGGGCGGCGUUAGAUGCUGGGAGAUGACCUCACACUCGACUCGACCGUUAUUCAUUAUUAACCCUGAAUCAGAUGCGUUUGAGAAGAGGAAACUCUAAACUGCGACUUUCACGAGACGAGACGAUUCGGUGUCGUACAAAUACUUUAACCUGAGAGCUUUUAACUGCAGAACUGACAGAAAAGUGUUUUAAUAACAUUUCUAAAUAAAUAUUAGACAGGAAAUGAACAGAGCUGCACCUCUGGAGUCGAAGCCGAACACACCACAAUGCUGGCACUAAUAUUAGUGGUGUACACGCUAUAGGGCUGGGCGAUAUAUCGAUAUAACAUCGAUAUUGUGAUGAAUGAUUAUGCGAUACACUUUCCUGAGAUAUCGUUGCUAUGGUGAUGUAUUCUUUUAGUUUUUUAAUAAUUACAGAUUAAAUGGUAGUGAAUAGAUGCCAUUGAUUUGACGUAAUAUAUUUAUUUGUCAUUUUUAAAUCUGUUCGUGUGGAGCGUCCAGCGUACGAUUCCCCGUGAACGAGCCGUUACUAUGGAAACGAUAACGUAUCAGAACGAGCGCGUUAAUACGAACCUGCGCUACUCUCAGAGCUGCUGUUAUAGAAAACUAAACCACAUCUUCUGACCAAUCAGAGACCAGGUUCCAACGAUGAAGAUGAUCUAUCGUGAUAUUUCGAUACAGAGUCGUCAUAACAGUAUUGACCUCAGCGCUCUGGCUGAAACGGGUUUAAAACCCCGCUGCCGUAUGUAGUCGUUUUAUUAUAUGAUUAUAGCGUGUUAGGGCAUAGUGCGGAACAGGAAGUGCUUCAGUGACGUCUGUUUAAUGAUUCCUUUGUUCUGUCGUGUUUUGAGCUACACCCAGAAAAACGAGUCACAUUUCACUGAACCUUCUUUUCCCUUCCCUUCAGUUACGUCACGGGAAUUCCAGCUCUCGUUCGUGAAGGACCGUCAGUUUUACAUUCUUACUGGUUUCCGGUUAGAUGUUUGCUUUUAGGAAACGAGAGCUUUGUCUCUGUUCCGUGUGGAUCCGCACGGUUAAAGGAUCGCUUGGCUGAUUUUAGCUAUACGGAAUAAAAACAGGCUUUUCAUACCAGAUAUUUUCAUGUCAAUUUGGGAGGAAAAUUACCUCAGGCUAUUCUCAUCAUCAUCAUCAUCUCUCUCUCUCUCUCUCUCUCUCUCUCUCUCUCUCUCUCUGUGUUUGUGGGUGUGGUUUUCUUUCCAAACGUCCUUGAGCUUUGGAAACGAAUGUUUUGUUGUUGUUGUUGUUGUUUUUAUUAUAUCUAUGUUGCUUUUAUAUUUACAUUUAUUCAUUUUCCUCUUUAAGGUGACGUGAUCCAUCCCACACCGUCUACCACUUAACCUGGAAAUGGGAAGUCACUUGUUAGCAACAAGCUAGCCAGGUUACUGUACAUUAGCACUAUGGGUGAUGUUUAAUGUUCACGUGGUGUUUACCUUCUGAAAAGAGCGAACUGGACGGUCAGUGUUGCGGUCAGAUGUGAACCGAACAGCGUGUCGAGUCGUCAGUGUACUUUAUGCGGAGAUGGCGUCUGACUGGUUUCCAUCAGGAAUUUACAUUUAUUCGUUUAGCAGACACUUUUUAUCCAAAGCGACUGACAAAUGAGGAAAUACAAGCAAAGCAAUAGAUCAAGCGGAGAAUAAUACAAGUAGUGCAACUGAUAAUGUGGUGUUGGCAUUUUAGGGGUUGGUUAGGUGUUCACAGAAGAGGUGGGUCUAUAGCUGUGUUUUGAAGAUAGUGCCGGAUUCUGCGGUCCGGAACAUGGCCGAUUCGACCUGAACGUCACCUGGGUUCGUCGGUCUCGAGUACCAACUGCGACUGUCUUCUCUUGUCACCAAAGUUGUUUAGUUUUAUUUCGAUUUUUGAUUCUUCCUCCCCAAUUUGAUCAUUUGCCAUUUCCUGUGAGACGUGUGAAGCCACCGUAGCAUUUCGAAGCUGCUACGAUUGGCUAGCGUAACUACGUAGCCGUUCUGGCAUUAUGAGCAUAUUUCCAGUGAGCACUUGAGAGGCUGUCACGCCCAUUUAUUACAUCAGUCUUCCAUUGCUUUUCUUUUCAGGCAGUAAUGUCCCAUGAAUCCUAUCCUAUGAAUCAUAUCCCUUAAAGACUUUUUCCACGUUGUAGUUGUGUGGUCUGAUUACAAAAAUAUAAUAUAAAUGAUUGAUUGAGAGAUGAGAUGACGAGUGAAGCCAUGAAAAGCAGCUGCUUUCCUCUCCACUGCUACAGCGUUGUCUUUAUCCGUUAGCCUAGCGACCGAGUGUUGUCUUUAUCCGUUAGCCUAGCGACCGAGUGUUGUCUUUAUCCGUUAGCCUAGUGACCGAGCGCUCUAACAGUCUCGCAGCGUGGACUUAUUUUCUUGCGAAAUCGCACAUACGGUGAUUUGAAGUGAUUGUACUAUGAAGUCGCCAGUGGGCGUUCCUACUACUUGUUGCCAUAGUAACGUUUAUCAGUGCGUGGUGUGGCUAGCGUUCCAUGUUUGACGACAAAUCAGUGAGUAGCCUUGAGCAAGGCCUUUAACCCUCAACUGCUCAGUCGUAUAAAUGAGAGAAAUGUAAGUCGCUCUGGAUAAAGGCGUCUGCCGAGUGCCGUGAAUGUGAAUGUAAAUGUGAUGUGGUCAUAUGCGUCCCAGACCACCUCCGAAUGUUGUUUGGGUGAUCGGAUCACAAUGCACAAAGUGUCCAUGACACAUUCACGCCUGUACGACCCGAUCACCCAGUACGCAUAUCAAUCCCAGGUGUGAACGAGGCAGCUGUAGCUCUCUAUGCCUUCGAACUUGUGAUGUCCUGACACUUUUUCUUUGCAGCACUUAGGCCUUGAGUAAACUGAUACAAUAAUCUCAUUUAAAAGUACAGCAGAGCUGCUUUUAAUUACUGCUGACGGUCUGAGCAGCCAUUUUAAAAAGACAUCAUUGUGCUGAACUCAUCGUUUAUUAACACCUUCCUAAAUUCCCCAUUCAUUUUCUCAGGGGUUUUUCUUUUCUGAUGUUGGAAGCUUUAGUUGAGUACAACAUUACAGCUCUGCCCAGUCAGUGCUUCUGGCUAAACGCCACUGGCUUCACAAGACGCUCAGCUGUUUCCUGGAGCCGCUCUGUAUUGGAGAUAACGUUCAGAAGAACUUUCUCCAGAGGGUCGAGUGUAAGAUAAAGAUGGAGGUCGAUCUGAUCUCGCCUCACACACACAAACACACCCUGCAGGCUGGGAGAGGUUUAUCACCAGAAGCCCACUGCUUCUGAAUCGUCAUUCAGGUCCACCGUGUGUUAGAAACGGAGCUGGAACAGGAUGAUAGCCUUCCGAUUGUGUUUACGUCAGCACUGGACGAGAAGUGAACAUUUUAUUGUAUAAUUCACAUUAUGCAUGGAUGAAAUAAUCUGAUCACAGUAAAAAAACAAAAAAAAAACAGACCUUUCAGAGCGUUUUAUUUAAGAGAAAGACAAAUUUAAAUACUUUUAAAAUAAAAUAAAAGAACAAGCCAUGGCUGAUGUAAUCCUUGCGUCAGCAGUGGAGUAAUGUUUUGACGAUAUUGCGACUUGUGUGAAAUGCUGCAUGAUGAUGGUGUAGAUGUAAAGUAGUCCUCGGUGAGUCACACGGCAUGAGCUCUCCUCUAACCAGUCUAGGCAGGUCCGAGCACAAAAGAUCACAUGACCCUCAUUGUACCCUUCGUUUGUACCCUUCAGCACUCAUCUCACACAGGCUUUAAACAGGACGCGUUUCUUCCUUUCCGUCUGCAACGGCCUCGUAAACAACUGCUCGUGGAGUCACGUCUUCAGCUCCAGUUCCCAGGGAACUGUUCUGCGAUCAUAGAAUAGAGUGGCAUAGUAGAGUAGAACAGAGUACAGUAGAAUAAAGUAGAUUAGAAUAGAGUAGAGCAGGGUAUAAUGGAUUAGAACGGAGUAUAAUACAGUAUAUUAUAAUAGAGUACACUAGAGUGGAAUAGAGCUGAGUAUAUUAGAGUAGAACAGUAUAAUUGAAUAGAACAGAAUAGAGUACACUAGAGUGGAAUAGAGUAGAGUAUAAUAGAGUAGAACAGUAUAAUAGAGCAUAUUAGAGUAGAACAGUAUAAUAGAGCAUAUUAGAGUAGAACAGUAUAGUAGAGUAUAAUAGGGUAGAACAGUAUAGUAGAGUAUAAUAGGGUAGAACAGUAUAGUAGAGUAUAAUAGAGUAGAACAGUAUAAUAGGGUAGAACAGUAUAGUAGAGUAUAAUAGAGUAGAACAGUAUAAUAGAGUAGAGUAGAAUAGAGUAGAACAGUAUAAUAGAGUUGAAUAGAGUAGAACAGUAUAUUAGACUAGAACAGUAUAAUAGAGUAGAGUAGAACAGUAUAUUAGAUUAGAGUAUAAUAGAGUAUAUUAGACUAGAACAGUAUAAUAGAGUAGAACAGUAUAAUAGGGUAGAACAGUAUAGUAGAGUAUAAUAGAGUAGAACAGUAUAAUAGAGUAGAGUAGAAUAGAGUAGAACAGUAUAAUAGAGUUGAAUAGAGUAGAACAGUAUAUUAGACUAGAACAGUAUAAUAGAGUAGAGUAGAACAGUAUAUUAGAUUAGAGUAUAAUAGAGUAUAUUAGACUAGAACAGUAUAAUAGAGUAGAACAGAACAGUAGAAUAGAGUAGAGUAUAAUAAGGUAGAACAGUAUAAUAGAGUAGAGUAGAACAGUAGAAUAGAGUAGAACAGUAUAUUAGAGUAGAGUAUAAUAGAGUCUAUUGGACUAGAACAGAACAGUAGAAUAGAGUAGAACAAUAGAAUAGAGUAGAAUAUGAAUGGAGCACAUAUGAAUAAGAAUAAAGUAGAAUGGAAUAGAAUAAAAACAGAAUAGAGUACAGUAGAGUGUGUAUGGAAUACGAAUAGAAAUGAAGUAAGUAGUAUAUGUAUUGAGAAAAGAAUUGAGGAAAAAAGUAGAGUAAAAUAUAAACAGCAUUGAGUGGAAGAGGAAUUUAAAUAGAAUAUUAAAUGAAUUAGAUAGAGUCAAGCUAGAAGGUAGGACAGAGUAGAAUGUGAAUAGAAUAGUGUAGAGUAUGGAAUUAAAUAGUCUAGAACGUGAUUAGAAUAGAGUAUGGAAUUAAAUAGUCUAGAACGUGAUUAGAAUAGUGUAGAGUAUGGAAUUAAAUAGUCUAGAACGUGAUUAGAAUAGUGUAGAGUAUGGAAUUAAAUAGUCUAGAACGUGAUUAGAAUAGAGUAUGGAAUUAAAUAGUCUAGAACGUGAUUAGAAUAGUGUAGAGAUAAAGACACUAAUGUCGCUAACAGGUAAUGGGAACAUGGCCACUGGUUUAGCAUUGUGUCUAAAUCAGUACACGGUCGCCUCGAAUAAUGCUCAGUAACACAAUUUGUAUAUAAAACAGUAGAAUAAAUCUGUAUUCAAAGUGUGUGUGCGUGUGUGUGUGUAAAACUGCCCGGGAGGUAAAACUAAACCUGGUGUCGUUACUGAACACCUGGUGUGUUCUCUUGCUCAACUGGUGUUAUGCAAACCCCCCAAACCCUGCAGCUCACACACACACACACACACACACACACACACACACACACAGAUGUCCUAAUCAGCUGAUCGUGUGCAGUGGAAAAAAGACAGUAUUACACACCCACACACACACACCUGCCCUUAAGAGGAGCUGAAAUGAAGUAGUGGCUCGUGACUCGUUGACCUGCUGAGACAUUCUUGACUGACAGACUAAAGUUGAAUAGUGUUUAGUGGGGUGUGUGUGUGUGUGUGUGUGUGUGUGUGUGUGUGUGUGUGUGUGUGUGAGUGUGCGUGCUUUGCUGUAGUUGUUUGUUUUUGUUUUAUUAAGGUGUACAAAAGGAGUAACAAACCUGAUUGCGUGAUCAUCACCUCCAAUUGAUUAGAAGACAGUACAGUAGAAUAUAAUAUAAUGGAGUACAAUAGAAUAUGAAGAUGAUGGAAUAGAGUAGAAUGUAAAUGCAGUAGAGUAUAAUGUGAAUAGAAUGGAGUACAGUAACAUAAACAAAAUGCAAUAGUAUGGCAUAGAGUAGAGUCGAAUAUGAAUAGAAUAGCAUAUUAAUAGAAUGGAGUACAAUAUGAAGAGUAGAAAACUAUAGAGUACGGUAAAAUAUGAACAGAGUAGGCUGGGGUCGAUUAGAGUAGUGUGGAUUGUGAAUAGAAUAAAGUAGAAUACAGUGGAGUGGGAUAUAUAAAGUGAACUAGACUACAGCAGAGUAAAAUGUAAUCAUGUAGAAUAUGAAUAGAACAGAAUGGAGUAGCAUAGAAUAGAGUAGAGCAUGAAUAUGAAGAGAAAAGUGUAGAAUAGCAUAAGGGUUCAAAGUAUAGUAGAAUAUGAAUAAAGUUGGAUAGAGUCGCAUAGAAUGUAAUAGAAUACAACGAAAUGGAGUACAGUAGCAUUGAGUAGAGUACAACAUGAAAGCAAAUAGAAUAAAGUAGAGUAGCAUAUGAGUAGAAUGAAGUAGGUUAGCAUAGAGUCGAAAAGAGUAGCAUAGAUAUAUAUACAGUCUAGUACAGUCAAGAAGAGUGGAAUAUGAUUAGAGUAGAGAAGAUGAAGAGUAGGAUAUGAAUGGAAUAAAGUGGAGUAGAACAUGAAAACAAAUAGAAUAGCAAAUGAAUAGAAUGAAGUAGAAUAGCAUA